This 575-nucleotide ribosomal RNA is filed under the name Diplodia seriata. RNAcentral's name for it is "eukaryotic LSU rRNA". The stretch from base 215 to 368 matches the Rfam family "5.8S ribosomal RNA". The record is from RNAcentral. Lineage: Eukaryota; Fungi; Ascomycota; Dothideomycetes; Botryosphaeriales; Botryosphaeriaceae.
AACAAGGUUUCCGUAGGUGAACCUGCGGAAGGAUCAUUACCGAGUUCUCGGGCUUCGGCUCGAAUCUCCCACCCUUUGUGAACGUACCUCUGUUGCUUUGGCGGCUCUUUGCCGCGAGGAGGCCCUCGCGGGCCCCCCCGCGCGCUUUCCGCCAGAGGACCUUCAAACUCCAGUCAGUAAACGUCGACGUCUGAUAAACAAGUUAAUAAACUAAAACUUUCAACAACGGAUCUCUUGGUUCUGGCAUCGAUGAAGAACGCAGCGAAAUGCGAUAAGUAAUGUGAAUUGCAGAAUUCAGUGAAUCAUCGAAUCUUUGAACGCACAUUGCGCCCCCUGGCAUUCCGGGGGGCAUGCCUGUUCGAGCGUCAUUACAACCCUCAAGCUCUGCUUGGUAUUGGGCGCCGUCCUCUCUGCGGACGCGCCUUAAAGACCUCGGCGGUGGCUGUUCAGCCCUCAAGCGUAGUAGAAUACACCUCGCUUUGGAGCGGUUGGCGUCGCCCGCCGGACGAACCUUCUGAACUUUUCUCAAGGUUGACCUCGGAUCAGGUAGGGAUACCCGCUGAACUUAAGCAUAU